Molecule: long non-coding RNA, 24331 nt
Filed under: Gossypium barbadense (sea-island cotton)
Lineage: Eukaryota; Viridiplantae; Streptophyta; Magnoliopsida; Malvales; Malvaceae
Description: long non-coding RNA (GBAR_LNC002839)
Rfam family: MIR7502 microRNA precursor family (bases 8875-9018)
Source: RNAcentral
UUUUCAAAUCUGCACUGGACUCGGUUUCUAAAAUUUCUUUACCUCGCUUACCUUCGGGAUCAUGUAGUGUGAUUUCAUCUUUGCUUAAGUUGAUCGUAUGAAAGCGUCUUUCAUUUGAGAGGUAUUGAAGUUGAAAGUUAUCUUUCGAUCUUUCGGGAACCUGAAAAGUAGAAACACAAGAAAAAUUCAUAUCUUGGUUAGUGGAAACAUUCCUCACUACCCUUUCCACGUCUUUUUCUUUUGUUUCUUUUUCUAAUUCAUUUUCUCUUCUUUCUUCAAUUUCUUUUUCACUCUCAAUCUCUUUUUGCUCUUUUUCAUUCUCUUUUUCUUUUUCCUCACUUGUUUUAACAGAAUUUUUCAGUUUGAUUUGGUCCUCAUGGACUUGUUCCAGAGUGAGCGGCACUAAGGUGAGUUUCUUUCCUUGAUGCUUGAAAGAAUACCUAUUGGUACGACCAUCGUGAGUGACUUUUCGAUCCAGUUGCCACGGUUCUCCUAGCAACAAAUGGCAGGCUUGAAUAGGCAUUACGUCGCACACAACUUCGUCUUGAUACUUACCGAUAGAAAAGGCGAUGCGCACUUGUUGAGUGACCCUAAAUUGGCCUUCGUUGCUAAGCCCUUGUAGUUGAUAAGGUUGUGGAUGCUUGGUAGUGGUUAAGCAAAGCUUUUCCACCAUCGUCGUGCUGGCUAUGUUCAAGCAACUUUCACCAUCAAUAAUAACUCUACAAAGCUUACCUUGUACAUGGCAACGAGUAUGAAAGAGAUGUUCUCGUUGCUGCUCGCUCUUUGGUUUUGCCAAAGAUGAUUGUCCAUGAUCAUGAAAAUCAUCAUCCAUUCUAGGGACACGUUGAGGGUUGCACCUAUGGGGCUGGUUAUCCCUAUCUUCCUUAAUUGGAUCUCGAUAUUGAUGUUUUUGAUUCACUCGUACCUCAUUCAAAGUAGUAUUCAAUGCUUGAAGUGUAGCAUUUAUUUGUGUGAUUGCAGCAGUAUGUCUGUCUAACUGUUGUUGGACUUUCAUAAGUGCAUCAUUAUUAUCACCUUUAGACAUCUUCAAAACCUGUAAAAAAUAAACACUCAACACUCAAAAAUAAAAGUUAGCAAACCUCACCAUUAAUCACUCAAAAAGAAAAAUCAAAUUCUCAAUGAGGUCGAAUUCAAUCUUGUGAGUUCUUUAUCAGAGUUUAUAUCAACCAAUUAGAGAGUGUGAACCAAACUACCAAAGAAUCCUAAUUUGCACUAGGAUGCCAAAAACUGACGAGACACCAAGUGAUUCGUGUUGCACCGAGGAAGGAUUGUGCACACGUUUAAAUCCUACUAACACAAGAAACAAGAAGGUGUUAGAUAUUUUAAAAGGAUAAUAAAAAGCAAACAAAUGAAAACCUACAGCUAAGAAUCAAUAAAAAUUGCUGAAAACAGAAAACUCGAAAAACUGUGGAGUAACUUGACAACUUCGUUCGAGGUGUUCCCGAUCUCAAAAAAUCAUAAAAUUAAAUCUCGAAUGUCCUUAAAUAUUUAAUAUUUGAUCUGGAAAGUUUGGGCACCAAACUCAACCCGCUGAAUUUUUUUUAAAUUUUUAUUGGAUUUCAUCUUUUUUUCUAUUUUUUGACUUUUUUGACUGAUUUUUUUGCGGGAAUAAUUUUUUUAUAUUCAAUCACAGUGCCACAAAUAUGUAUGUAAAAUUUUAGAUCAAUUUGAUAAUGUUUACCCACUCAAAUAAAUUUUUUUUGAAAGAUUUUUCUGGGUAAAACUGUUGUUUUUGCUUUAAAAUAUUGAGAUCAGUUUAGAAAUCAACCAAGAACACCCAAAACACCCAAAAUCUGAUACCAAAUGAUACGGGGUUGCACACGGACCAAGAUCGAGUUGCCAAGUCACGGGAAACUCCUACGAAAACCCUAAACAAUCAGAUCCGAAACAAAACAGAAAAAUUAAAAGAUUAGAACUUUGAAUUUCCAGAUCUGAAAUAAAAUCCCUAAAUCAGCAAAGAAUCAAAUUGAGAAUAGAAAUAAGUGUUAGGGUUCUUGAAACCCUUAAGGAGAUUGUGAUUCUGCCCAAUUGAACACCAAGAUAGUUUUCCCCAAAUUUCGACAAUCUAAUUUCACCCAAAAAGAGUAUGGAAAAACCCUAGAAAUUGGGGAUUUUGGGGCUGAUUCCUUAAGAUAGAAAAAGGCUGAAAACACAAUAAGAACAGAAAAUAGAUUAGAUAAUGAUUCAGCACAAGUAGAAAUAAAGAAAGAAUUGACAGUAAGAAAUUAAAAGAUAAGUCCUAAGAAGCUUUGAAAUCUCGAAAGAUCUCACAACUCCCUUCAAACGGCUCUAAUCUCCCCUCCAAAGAAUAUCAAUGGCAAGAAGAAGGUUGAAGAUGGCUCCCACAAUCAAAAGAUUGUUAAAACAACUUCUAAAGAAAACUCAAGAGAGAAAUCUUGGAGAAAACUCAAAGAAAAUUCUGCUCUCAACAAAUCUGAAAUUUUAAUAAUAAUGAUAAGUGUUUAACAAGGUGGACAGCCAUGCCUUUAAAUAGGCCUUAUAACUAGUCCUAAUCUAAUUAGAAAACUAAAAUAAAAAAAAACUCCUAAUUAUUUUAAUAUGGAAAUUUGGUCAAAGGUCAUUUUAUCUGAGACUCUUGGACUGAAUAUUGACAUAAAAAUUUAAACUAAGUAAAUAAAUAAAUAAAUAAAAAUAAAACUUUACAACUUGGGCCACUUUGACAAUUUGGCCUGAUUUUCAACUAAGUAUGGAUGGAUUUCUUGAUUGGGCUGGGAAUUUGCUUAUUGGGCCUCGCCUUCAAGAAUUUGGGCUUUUGUGACUCGUAUCAGACGAUAUUAUCUCUUUCGGUCUAAAAGAUAACAAAAGGAGAUUUUGAAAAGAAUAAUGAAGAAUAGGGCAGCAGCGGAGGUAGGAAAAGGAAUUUAGACUUACAACACGGUGGGUGUAUGGUGCCACGAUACUUCCCACUUAUGAUGGUGUUGGAGAUCCUUUAGGGUGGUUGAAAAGAUGAAUUUUUUUUUUUGGCAAUCAACGAACUAACGAAGAAGACAAAAUAAGCUUAGCAUCAUUCCAUCUUUUAGUAGAGGCACAAUUGUGGCUUGAUCAAAUGGAAGAAGAGGAGGCAAAUCUGAUUGGGGGCACUUCAAAGAGUGUUGUCAUGUAAGGUUUGGGCCACCUAUGAGUAAUAACCCCUUGUGAGAACUUGCCAACUUGAAACAAACUGGGACUGUAGAGGAAUAUCAACGUCAAUUUCAAUCACUAUUGGCUAGGACUAUUGAUCUUAAACCUCGACAACAAGUAAACCUCUUUACUGCCGAGUUGAUCGAAGAACUUAGAAUUGAUAUUAAGAUGCAACAAUCGGAAAACCUUGGAGUUGCAAUGAAUAUGGCUCAAACAUUGGAAUGUAAACAAAAUGUCUUUUCCAAACUGUUAUCUCGAGCCAUCCUGAAUUGGCCAACUUCCCAAAACAUCGGCAGCAAUUCAAUCAUUCCAACAACUAAGAGCAUUGCGAAGGGAGGGGGACAAAGAACAAAACCAAUAGGAACAAUGGCAAAAUAGGUUCUUCUGCACCAUUUUUUAAGAGAUUAACACAGACAGAAAUGGUGGAAAGAAGGGCUAAAGGGCUAUGUUAUAAUUGUGACGAGUCUUAUUCAAUGAAACACAAAUGUAAAAUGUUAUUUUGGAUAGAAGUACCAUAUGCUGAAGGCAAGCAAACUGAUGAUGAGAUAGAUGAUUUUGGAUACGUUCUGAAGUUUAUUUUGAAUUUGAGCUUGAGGACAAGCUCAACUCUAAGAAGGGGAGUAAUGAUAUGGACGCUUUUAUUGCAAUAGGAAUUUUAGUUUUAUUUAUUAUAUCAGGUUCUAUUAAGAGUUUUGGUUUUACUUAUUUUCUCUAUUAUAUUUGGUUUUUGUUUCUUUAUAAACUCUAAGUUAUGAAUUCUAUUUUAUGACAAUUAGAACUCUUUCCUUUGUUAUUAAUAGUCUAUAAAAGGUUGCCAAUAUGAAAUAAAGAGGCAAGCAAUUAUUCUAUAAAAAAGAAACGAUAUUUUGAGGGGGGGUUCAGUCAAGAAUAAACCUGCAUUUUGAGUAACUAUAGGUCGAAGCAAGAAUUCUUUCUCGUCUAGACCUAUGACUAGAUUCUAUACCAAGGCGCAUAACAAAUUCAUAGUUUGUUCAAAAGCUCAAGCUCCUAUGGCAUACAUGCAGUUAACAAAAUUGACCAGUGCAUUCUCCCAGUAAGUACAUUAGAACAUUUUGUGACUUCUAUAACAAUGGAUUGAGCAUGGCUACACUCACAUUCACUUUGGAGCAUUAAGCUUAGCUCUAAGCUACCAUGGCACCAAAGGACAACCAACUUUGCCAGGAUAACCCUUUUAGGUUCAAGAUGCCUCAAAGAUCCAAUACUUCUCAAAUGCCUCAAAGUUUAGAUCCAAAUAGUUGGAGCAAAAAUGAUCAAUGCCACAAAUGAAGCAACCCUCCACUACUAGUGGAUUACAGAGUUAAAGAUCAUGCAAUUGACAACUCCAUCCCAUUCAAACAUGAGAUCCUGUUCGUGAAAUUUGAUGUACAAGAAAACUUAGUCACUUGUGUACAUGUUCUUAAAGUUGUAACUAGGUAACAGAUGGAUCUCUCUACUCCGUUUCUCAUGGAUUGCAAAUUAUGAAAAGUUUCAUAAAAAUAUGAAGCCAAUCCAGUCUAUGGAGGCCGCAUGCACCACUAAUCCGGACAAAACAGUGACCACCAAAUUCAAAUGUGAAGAAAUUGAUCGAAAAGUGGUCACAUCUUGUCUUUCCAACCUAGUUCAUGAUAGAGUCAGUAUUCACAUCUCAAACAGUGCGGUUCUAGAUGUAUCAACCAAGAUAUGAUUAUGGUCUCGGUCGAUGAAAACACAUCAUCACAGUUUCUACACUGAAGGACCGUUGAUAUAUUAUUUCAAAGGUUCCUCAACUAUACAUUAUCCAUGGGAUAUAAACUAUGAUUGUGACGGAUGCCAUGAAGAUAGUCUUACUCAGGCUUUGAACCAAUCGGACUAAAGAUAGAAAAAUAAAAGCAAAAACAUAUGUUCUUCUAAGAAAACACUCUACAAAAAGAUACCUUGAUGGAGAUCCCUGAGUUGCACCACUUAGACAAGACCACAAACCAGUACAUGGUGAAAUACACGCCACCUCUAUGGUGAAAUACACGCCACCUCCAUGGGCAACAAUAGUGCAAGAGGACAUUCUUCCUGCAGAUGGGCCAACACUUUCACCUUCUCCAAAACUAAGAAGAUAAAAGCCACACCCUUGCUAUGCUAUAGGACUAGCGUACAUUGAAAAAGAAAGACAAAAAAAACAGAAGGUACAGAUUUCUUAGGUUUGUAAGAUCCAACCAAAAACCCUGCAUGACACAAAGUUUUUUCUAUUACAAGAUUACCAAAGAAACAAAAAAAGACACAUAUUGAAAGCCCUUAACCUUACUGAUAGGGACGAAAAGAGAAACCAAAAGAAAGUAGUGGCACUAGAAGAAGUUUGAAAUUAGUAAACCCAAAAUCCAUUGCACAAAAUGCCAACCUUUAAAGAAUUGAAAACAAGAUCAACCAGAUCAAUGAACAUUUUGACCACCAUCUCCAGACACUUCAAAAUGUAAUCUAUGAGAUCCAAAUGUGACUAGAUGUUCUUAAUAAGGAACUCCAACAAAGUUUAAAGACGAGCCAAUGAUUCAUAUUUACAAUGUCUGGAAAAAUAAGCAGAGAUUAGAUCUCUCCAAAAGCAAUUCCUAGAUUUACAAUGGCAAUACAACCAGAAGGUUUAAGAGCAAGAAGCUAAAAGUUUCUACCAGCUAGCGCCAAGGAUGUUUGAUACAUACCCUCAAACUUCUCAGGCACCAUGACAUAUUCCUUUCUACUCCUCCCAACAUCUUUAGUCAACUCCUCUGACAACACAUUCUCUACUGUCAUCUCCUCUUGUUCGACGAGAUCUAUUCUUCACUCCCCUGAACUUAGAAGCACAGCAGGCUCCACCAGGUGUAAAGGUUACUAAAGCAUGGGUCUAGAAGUUCAAAUAGGAAUAACAACAACUGUAGAAAGAAAAAGUAAAAGAAAAGGCAUAUUAACACUCCUUUACCAAAUUCAACUAGGCCCAAAACUGCAACAAGCUUUCUAGAUCCAAAUUUGGUGCUUCAUCCAAGCAACCAACAUAGUUGAUGACAAAGGAAGCAGAUACACCGAGUGUAUUCUCCUCUAUACUAAAUGGUUUGGUUAGGGAUAACCUACUAGUCAUUGACAUAGAAGAAUCCUCUGAGUACUCCUCCCAAGGAUAUACAAAAGACUCCAUAAUACCUAGUGACAGUGAUAAAACUAUACCGAAAGAAUGCCUUCCCUAGAUGUUUCUCAUUGAACCUCAAGUAGAAACAUUGAUGAUAUUCCAUCGAGCAAAUGGAAUAUACGAUUUCAAGAGUACUAGGCGUGGACGUACAUUGAACUAUUCAAAGUAGGUGCUACAACAAACUUAGUCCUACUGUAGUUUGUUGCAAGAUUAAUAGGAAUGUUCAAAGAGUUUUGGAUGCAUUAGGAGGAUACAAACAAGCUAUGCAAGAAUUAGCUACACUAUUUUGCGGACAACAAGGCCAUAGGAUUGAUAAGAUCCGAGAGCAAAUUUUCAAGUUGAAAUGUUGUUCUCUUCGUUUGAUAGAAAUUACUAAACUUCUCUAAGUAUUACUUCAUACUUGAAGGACUCCACAAUAUCAAACUAUAGUAAGUGUUCCUCAUAUCAAUCCCAAAACAACUCAAUGAGAAAACUUAAAGCCUACUAGCUGCAAGAAACCUCUCUAUCUCCAUUGUUCUCCUUGGAGAUCUAUACAAAAUUAUGCAUAAGGCCCUUGAUAUGAUUUGCAAUGAGCACAAAUAGAUCAUGAACAUAGUUCAGAUUCAAAGAGCCUCAAAACCCCUGUGCUUUCCCUUUAGGACUACAAAUCAAAUGCUCAAAGAAUGACUCUGAAUGCCUUUGCCAUUAUGGCAAGAAGAAGCUUACAGAAGAUCCCAUUUCAAGUCCAGAUUCUCUUAUAGACUCGACAAUUUCCAGAAAAAGGCAUUUUAGGCAAAACAAUGAAUAUUUCAAUAUGGCAGAUAGACCCUAAACCCUAAACAGAAUAAAAUUUUGCAAACUGAUCAAGUACGAAAUAUAAGUCGAUCUGUGAAUGGAUGUGCAACUCUAAUCCUUUAGAUAUGUUGUGAAUUGAAGUUGUUGGCAAUAACAACUACGAAAACUGUAAGGAUGUCUCCAUAAACCGUAGCAGAUAUGAGCUAAGGACAUCUAUAGUGUUUAGCUACAGUAUCUCAUGUCUCGGGAAAGGAUGGUAUGAAAUAGUGACGCCACGUCAUCUGUAUCCCUUCCCAAUAGUUUUAUGCCACAUCAGUAUUCUUAUCUUGAAUUUUAGGAUUUUAUCCUAAAAAAUCAAAUUCAAAUUGAAAUACUAAAAUUCAAGAUAAAAUCUUGAAAUUCAGGAUAAAAAUACUGAUGUGGCAUAAAAUCAUUGGAAAGGGAUACAGAUGACGUGGCGUCACUGUUUCAUACAAUCCUUUCUCCUAAUAUCUCCUACUUUUGUUAUGUUUUAUAGAAUUUACUUAAUAUUUAAUUCUUAUAUUUAAAAGGAAAGAUUGUAAAGUUAACAUAUCUAUUUCUUUUAAUGGCAAUGUGGUUUGACUCACAGAUUGCAAAGAAUUCCUCAAGAAGUCGUUAAUAGUGAUGGGAGAGAUAGGAGGAAAUGAUUACAGUCAUGCAUUCCUUCAAGGUAAAAGCACUAAGGAGAUUCUACACUUUGUUCCUCUUGUUGUUGAUACCAUUGCUUCAGCAAUCACGGUAACAAAUUAAUUCGUGUUGGACAGAUACUCGUGUUUGACACUUAUAUAUUGUCAUAUAAAUAUAAUAUUUAAUUUCGAAACAUCAUCAAAUACAUAAAAAACUUUGAAAAAUUCGUAUUCAACACUCAUGUCCAACCAAGGGUGAAGGGACGGCUAGACAAGGGCCCUGACCCUCCUAAAACGGGAAAUUUAUGCUUUAGAUCCUAAAAUUUAUAAAAUCAUAAAUUAAUAUAUAGUAAAAUUAUACUUUACCUUCAAAAUGCUAGAAAUUUUUUGAAAACCAUAACGAUAUAAGUUAAUACAAGGAUCAAAUUGUAUUUUAAUUAUUAUAAAAAAUAUAUAACUUAAUCUCGACUCCCCCUAAAAAUAUUUCUGAUCCAACAUAUAAAUAUUGUAAUAUGACUUUAAAAGAUCCUUCAAAUAUUUGAAAAUUUUAGGAAAAUCUAAAUAUACUCUAUGUCGCAUACAUGCCUGUAUUUUAUCAUACCUGUGUUGGAUAUAUAAUUUUAUCGAACACUCAUGCCUGAGUCUGAAUUAACGACAAUCUUUUACAGAAUUUCUUCAUACCAGAAAAAGUUUUUUUAGUUGAUAAACAAUGCUAUGCAGGAGUUGAUAGGGCUAGGGGCGGUCACAAUUUUGGUCCCUGGAGACCUUCCGAUUGGAUGCUCCUCAGCAUAUCUCACAUACUUUCAAGGUUCCGAUAUGGCAGAUUAUGAUCCUUUAACUGGUUGCAUAACAUGGCUGAACCAAUUCUCCGAGUUCCACAACGAACAGCUUCAGAAAAAGCUCGAUCAGAUGCGCAAGCUUCAUCGAAAUGUCAACAUCAUUUACGCAGAUUAUUACAACAUUGCAAUGCGUUUCUACCAUUCCGGAACCAAUUUGGUAAGGCUUAUACCUUAUAGUAUAUCUAAACCAAUGGUUCAAGAAUAUUUUCUGUCAGGAAAAAGUAUUAUAGAGAACUUUGUAUUAGAUGUUAGAUUAUAUUUCAUCCCAUUUACUCAAAAAAUAGAUAAAUUAGUCCUUAUCUAUUAGAUUAAUUAGCAAAUCGAUCUUUUCUAAUAAAAAUAUCAUUCAUUUUUACUGUUAAAAUUGACAUUGAUGACAAAAUAACCAAACAGUUACAUUGCUCGGCCAUAUAUACCUUACUCUAACAUACAAGAACCAAUUUUUAACAGUAGAAAUGAAUAAAAUUUUCUACUAAAGAACUAAUUUGCUCUUUAAUCUAAUGUAUAUGAACUAAUUUACUUCAGCCUUCAUAGUACUUUUAGCAGUUUCUGUCUCAUGCGGAUUAUUGGCACAUAAAAGUGUCGUAAUCUGUAUAAUAUAUACAUAACGAUUGAAUUUCAGCCUGUUUACAUGGUUUUUUUUGUUGUUGUUGAUAUUGAAUGAUUACAGGAUUUACUGAAACACUUAGAUCAUGUUGUGGAGGGGGAGGUCGAUACAAUUACAGUGCAUCAGUGGCAUGCGGGGAUCCGCCAUUAACGACAAGCUGCAAGGACCCUUCUUCACAUGUGAGUUGGGAUGGUUUACAUUAUACUGAGGCAACUUACAGAUGGAUUUCAAAGGGUGUUUUAGAAGAACUAUAUGCUAUUCCUAAUACAAAUAGCUUGUGUUUUCCAUCUACCGUAAACAAAUAAAUUUAUUGAUAAUAAAUUCAUAAAAAAAGGGUUUAAUCUAGUGUCUUUUCAAGAUCUUUAUGAAUCUCGUUGCAAUGCCAACAAUGUUUAUGUCAAUUAAACUAAGACUUGAUUAGAAAAGAUAUUUGAAUAUAGGUGUGAGUAUUAAUGGCUUUAAAUUUGAUCGAACCCAUCAAAUUGGGCUUUUUCUUAAUAGAUUUAUUCGGUUAAUUUGACCAUUCAUUAGUUCAUUUAUUUAUUUAUAUUUCUAUAAAUAUUAAAUUUUUUGUUAACUUCAGUAUUAUUAUUAACCGCGCAUCAACUUUGUUGGAUAAUGAUGAAGUUACUUUUACUUUACAAGGUAAAGUGCAUAUUUUGAGUGUCUUUUUAUAUAUUUUAUAUAAAAAUAUGCACAUAAUAAGAUUUGAAAUUAAACCUCUAUAAUUUUUAACAUUAUACUUUACUCUUCGGUCAAAGUCUUAAUUGUUAUUUAUAUUAUUAUUUUAUAAAAAUUGUUUUUAUAUAUAUAUAUUUUUAUUCACAUGUGAGUUUGAGUGAACUAUAAUCUAGUUAUAGUCUAGAAUAAUUUAGCAUAAAUAUAUAAAUAAUUAUUUUUUAAAUUGGUUGAAGUAACCGACUUAAAUUUACUUUGAUUUUUCGAUUAAUCAAGCUAAAUUAGUAUCAUAAGUUAAUUUGAUAUCAACUAAAAGUUUUAAAAAUUAAAAUUUUUUUAAUUUGUAUCUUUAAAUAAAUUUAUAAUUUGUUUUAAAUUAGAUAGUUUCGACUUUGAUUUUUCGAUUAAUCAAGCUGAAUUGAUAUCACAAGUUAAUUUGAUACCAAUUGAAAAGAUUAAAUACUAAAAGUUUUUAAUUUAUGUCAUCAAAUAAUUUCAUAAUUUGUUUUUAAAUCAGAUAGUUUUUGCUUUGAUUUUUUGAUUAAUCAAGCUGAGUUAGUAUCAUAAGUUACAAAAAAAUUUAAAAUAUUAAAAGUUUUUAAUUUAUGUCUUUAAAUAAUUUUAUAAUUUUUUUUAAAGUAGAUAAAUUUUUUUAUACAAUAUUACAAUAUUUGAUAAAAACUUUAACCACUGGUUCAUAUAAAUGGAGAAUUUUAAAUUAGAUAGUUUAAAUUGCAACUUUAAAAUACUAUAAAAAUUUUCCUUCCCUACACUAGAUGCCACAUAAUCUAAUUUUAAUUGUUUUUAUUGUAUCAUAUUAUAUAUUUAAUCUAUAGCAAGAAUUUUUUAUAUAAAAAUAUUUGUUGGAAUAGUUCUUUUAAGUUACAUGUGACACAUUAAAUAUUUAAUUUAUAUAAUUAAAUUUUCAUUUAUAAUUAAUAUAUUGAUACUCGCCGAUUGAGUUUUAGCUCAAUUGGUAUGGAGUCAAGUGUGCUGAAGCGCAUUUAUCAUUCUAUUUAUAGGUUGGAAAAGAGUUAUGGAUAGUUCUAGACAUUGAGUAAAAAAUAGCAGAUAUGAUUAGAAUUUAUAAUGAAAUUAUUCCAAACAAAAUUAAUAUAUUAAUACUAAUAUAUUAAUCGUCAUUUUCCAAAAAAAAAAUUCUAACUUUAAUUUUCUAGUUAAUAAAUAAAUAUUUUUAAAAAAUAUACAUUUAAAAAUUUCCGCAUGCACUAAUGUAUACCUCAUAACAAAAUUAACUAAGAGGCUUUUAUAUCUAUUAAAUACUUUUAAAUAUAAAUAAACUUAAUAUUUUAAAUAAAUCUAAAUAUUUUUAAAUAAAUCUACUUUUAUGAUAGGGAUAAGUAAUCCCUUUUAAUCUUAUUGAUUGACCUCUUAAGAGUAUACAUAAUAUUUAUAAAGCAGUAGUUACGUAAGAAUAGGAAAUAUAUAUAAUAUAUUCCUAAAUAUAUGCCUAAAAGAAAGAUAUACAAUAUAUUUAGAUAUUCCUAAAAGAUAAUAUCCCAUAAUAAGAUAUUCAAAUUGCGGUUUACUAAGCGCGGUUGUAAAAAUGUUAGCCAACUAAAUGGAGGUCAGAACAUAAGAAGCUGCAAUCAAUGCAUCCUGGACUGCAACCCUAGUAAAGUGACAAUCCACUUCAAUAUGUUUAGUACGCUAUUGAAAUAUAGGAUUCUAUACAAUAUGCAACACAAAAUGACUAUUACAAAAUAAAGGAAUAGUUUUAGGAUGAUAAACAACUCAAUAGCAAGGCUUUCAGUCUUUUGAGCUCACAAGUGAUGGAAGCCAUAACCUAUACUUAGCCUCAACAGAAGACUAAAACACAAUAUGUUGUUUCUUAGUUUUCCAAGAAAUAAGAGAUUGUCUCAGAAAGGCAAGCCAACCGGUAAGCGAAUGCUGAGUUAAAGGACAAGCAUACCAAUUUGAAUCACACCACCCCUUUUAAGGAAAAAUCACUAUCAGAUAUCAAUAAAAUCCAUUGGCCAAGAGAACCUUUCAAGUACUGGACAACACGCAAAGUCGUGUCCCAAUGCUUCUGUCUUGACAUAUGCAUAAACUAAGAUAAGACAUGAAAUGAGUAUACUAAAUUAGGUUUGGUCAUUUACCAAAUAAAUCAAACGACCCAUUAACCAUCUGUAUAACUUAGAAUCAGUCAAAACUGCCAUGUAUCACUCGUCAAUCUAUGAUUUUUCUCUAUUGGUGAUCAUGUGGGCUUUGCUCCCAAAAGAUCCGUCUUCGAAAUAAUAUCAAGUGCGUAUUUCCUUUGAUAAAAAUAUAUACCCAAAGAACUACGAGCUACUACUAUCACCAAAAGGUAUUUCAAAACACCAAGAUCUUCAUAUGAAAGCAAGAACUGAGAUACCCCUCAAAAGUUUUCAAAGCAGCAAAAUCAUUCCUAGAAACAAGCGAAUCAUCACCAUAAACUAGCACAUUAAUGUGUACAAAUCUCGUAGUGUAUAUAAAGAGAGAAUAAUCAGAAUAUGAUCGAAGAAAUCCAUUCCCUUUCAGUGCAGUAACUAACUUUGCAAACCAACACCGAGGAGCUUGUUUUAACCCAUACAAAGACUUGGGCAAACAACAAACCAUUCCAGGCUUAUCAGGGACAAAACCUGAGGAACCUUCAUGUAAACCUCUUCAUCAAUAUCACCAUGCAAAAAUGUAUUAUAUAUACCCAUAUAAUGUAACUCUGAUUCAAAGCUGCAAUAGCUAAGAUAGCACGAACAGUAAUCAUUUUUGCCACAAGAUUAAAAGUUUCAUUAUAGUCAAUACCUUCCACCUAGUGAUUACCAAAAACAACAAGAUGAGCAUUAAGUCUCUCAAUACUUUCAUUCGAAUUAUAUUUAAUCUUGUACACCGACUUACUACUCGUUGGACAGUCAAUUGGACUUUCAACAACUAAAAAUAUUGGGGUUGUCUCUAGUCUCUAUGAAGAAUCAUGUACGAUUCAUGGAGGAGGCUUCUCGGUUGAUGGAGAUACAACUUGCAAGAACUCACAAGAGAUACCAUCCACUAAAGUCACCCCACACACAUUCUCCUCAAUUAAUAUUACACACAAUAUUAGCACUUUUCCCAAGAGCUCUUAUAAGUCAUAUCUCUACCAACUAAGGCUUCUCCCUCCAUGAAUUGUACAUGUCUUUCCAUGAAGGUUGAGAACAAAACUCCAACACAUAUCAACAAGGACAAAACUCCAAUAUAUAGCAAUGAAAACCAAUCAUUUACUUGAUAGAUGACAGUUUAAAAACUUUUCUUAAAGAAAUCAAUUCCCCUCUGUACACAUCAACGAGAACAACACCUUCAAACUACAAGCAUCGAAUAAGAACACUACUCCCAAAAACUCAACAACAAUUAAAAUAAGGCAUAAAAGAAUCCUAUAAAAACCCUCGAAUAAGAAUUAGCAAAAACCCACCUUAAAAACCACCAAAAACACUGACCUAAAAAAUUCACAGAUCAAACAACCUAUAAAUCCAAAUUUAAUAUUCUCAGUUCAAUUUCCAAAAGUUCCUUAAUAACAUCUUCUUCAUUAUCAAUAACACUAAACCUAAUCUGUUUUUCCAAGCUCCCACGUUUUUUUUAAGCUUCUUCCCACAUUUUUCUUUUGAUUUUGAAAAUCGAAAUAGAUAGUGACUCGUUUGCAAAUGGAAGAUUUUGAGUCCACAAAUUAUUUUUUUAGUUGAUCCCACUUGGCCUCAUGCUUUGGAAUAUCACCAUUAAUGUUAGAUGGCUACUUGGGUAUACAUGUUUGUUUUUUCUUUGACUCGUAAUAAUUUUAAAACUUAUAUUUAUAUAUAAAUAUAUUAUAAAGACAUAAUUUAUAUAUAUUUCUUUAUAAUAUAUUUGCAUGUAUAUAAGUGUGAAAAAAGAGAUUUAAAACAUCAAUAAACUUGAACUAAUACACUGAAACACAUUGAUAUCAGUAUGUAUCAGUAUCAAGAUAAAAACAAUAUGUCCACCUUUACGAUAUUGACUACUUUGAUCCAUACUCUAAAUGUAUCUAAAUACAAAUAAAAAUGGUAACGACUAGUGUGGAUUUAGAUAUUUGCAAAUAUAUGAUCUAUUUUUACGGAUUUGAAUAUUACAAAUGCAAGUAGUAUUUGUAUUAAGAUAUUCUAAUUAUUCAACAUAUAUAUAUAAUAUCUUUAAAGUUAUUUCAAUUUAUAAAUAUUUUGUUUUAUUAAUUUUUUAUUUAAAUUCAAAUAUUAUCAUAUUUCGAUGGGUUAAUAUUUGAUACACUAGCGGUAUAUAUAUUUUUAUUUCACAAGCAAUUUUAAAAUAUUGUCACAUGUUUCUUUUUUAUAAAUAUUUAUUUAUUUUAAUAUUAUACUACAUCUCCAUAAGACUAUUGUCAACCCUUAACAUUGUUUAUGAAAUUUAAAAAUUCUGCUGGCAGUGUACAAAAUAUUAUUCCUAUUUUAAUUAGAUCCCUUAAAUUUUUGAAAAUUCCCAUUAAUCUAACAAAAAAUUUAAAAGUUUAAUUAGACCUUAAUUUCUUUUUAAAAAGUUGACAUAAAACUCUUAAAAUUUUUAAAAAUUUUAGUAAGCACCCAAACUUUAGUCUAGGAUCCACCAUUAUUAUAUAUCCCAUAAUAGAUAUGAUAAUAUCUGUCCAUGGUUUUGCAGCUGAAGCUUUGGGAUUGCCAUUUCUUCCACCAUAUGAUGGAUAUAAAAAUGAAAAAUCAGAGAAAUUUGAAAGUGGUGUGAAUUUUGCAGUUUGGGGGGGAGCGGGAUGCUAGUGCACUCAAUUCUUCAUUUACUGGAACCUAUAAUCCCGUCACCGACAUAUCUUUAGUAGAUGAAGUGAAUUCCUUCAAACAAUUUCUUAAUCUACGUACAGAUCUCAAACAGCUCCUACGGAACUCUUUGAUAAUGAUGGGAGAAAUCGGGGGAAAUGAUUGCAGUCAGGCCUUCAAGCAAGGAAAAAGCAUUGAGAAUGUUUGAAACUUUGUUCCUCCUGUUGUUGAUUCUAUAACUUCAUCAAUUAAUGUAAGAAUUACCAGUUUUUUACGGCAAUUAUUGAUCAGUACUGUGUUUCAUAUUAUUAUAACAUUUGAGUUUGAUAUGUAGGAGUUGAUCGAGUUGGGUGCAGUGACAUUUCUGGUCCCUGGAAACUUCCCAAUUCGAUGCUCUCCCACUUAUUUGACACUGUUUCAAGGUUCAGACAAGGAUUAAUAUGAUCCCUUAACUGGUUGUCUAACAUGAUUGAACCAAUUCUCUCAACACCACAAUCAAUUACUUCAAAAAGAACUCGAAAAAAUCCGAAACCUUCAUCCCGUCGCCAACAUAGUUUAUGCUAAUUAUUACAGCACUACAAUGCGGAUUUACAGUUCUCCAAACAAAUCUCCAGGGUUUAAAGAACAAUUGAAGGCUUGCUGUGGAACUGGAGGUCUUUACAGUUACAAUCUUUCGAGAUCUUGUGGUCAUCCGCCAGUAACACAAUGUUGCAAUGACCCUUCUUGGAAUCCAUUAUACAGUUGCGGUCAACAGAUUGAUUGCCAAUGUUGUAUUUGAGGAAUUGAUGAACAGCAUUCAUAGUUUAAAUAACUUGUGUAUCAUUUACUUUAAGUAACAAUCCAAACAAUUAUUUUUUUAACAUACAUAUUUCAGAAAGGGAAUCUAAUUCCUUGAUAUACAUUAUACUAAGUUGAUUUCACACCACACAACACAUACCAUUUAUUGUUAGAAAAGGUGUUGUGUUGACAUGAAACGUGGGAUGAAAUUAGAAACAUGACAGACAACAUUGGGACCUUCUUUCCACAUUUUGAUUUUGAUUUUGAAAAUCGAAAUCAGAUAAUGAGUGGUUUGCAAAUACUUAGCUUUAAUGAUAGCAAGGUUAGGAUCCUUUGGUCAAAUCCUUAGCUUUAAUGAUAGAUAAUGACUGUGUCUCCUAUUUAACAAUGUCAUUUUCACCAUUCUCUCCUGUCCCACCAAUUGUAUGAGAAGAGAAUAAUGUUGGAAAAUACAUAUAUAUAUAUAUAUAUAUAAGGGUAAUUAUAUGUUAUUAUUUAUUAUUAUAGGUUAGUUUAAAUUAAAAGUGAUCUAAUUUGGUUAAAGUUUAUUGAGCUUUAAUUAUUAAAUAAAGUAUGAGUCAAAUAUGUGUACAUACUCUAGUAAUUGAGUUCUAAUUAAUUUCUAAUUAAUGAUGGGCUAAUUAGGAAUUAGGGAAAAUAUACCAAAGCUAUAUAUAUUAGGGUUAUGAUUCCCAACUUAGGAAAGAGAAAGUAAAUAUUCUCUUAAUUUAUUGUAUGCUAAUUUGGAAGAUCAAAUUCAAUAUCCUGAAAAACCAAAGGUGAAAAUGCGGAAAUAGGGGAAAUUUUGGGAAAAGAAAAUAAAAAAUAAAAAAUAUAGAUUUUUACAAAAACAAAUUCCAACUUCCUGAUUGUUUAUUAGAUAAACCCAUGACCAUCCAUCCACAAACACUCAAAGUGUGGCACACUCAAGAAAUAGUAAAAAUAUUGUCAUUUGCUCAUGCAAAGAUUCAAACACAUGACCAUAAGAUAAGUUAACACUUUAUCACUAAAUCAACAACUUCAUUCUGUUACUAGUUGAACAAAAAUAAUUUUUAAGUUAAAUAGAUAGAGACAAAGCUAGGAACAAAAAUAAUAGAAUUUUUCUCAAGGAGAGAUUUAAAUCUAUGACCUCCAACACACAAUCAAGGCCUUUAACCACUGAAAUAGAUACUUACCUAUGAUAAAAUUUAAUAAAUCAAAUAUUCAAAUUUUUGUGGCGUAUAAAAUUUUUCUCAUGUUUUUUAGUGAUCCGUUUCAUGUUUUAAGUAUUAGUGUAAUGAAUAUUUCAAGGGAUUUUAUUAACAGGGCAUAUGAAAAUAUUAUUGAUCCAGAAGAUGUGCAUGAUGGAGGAAGUGAUAAUGAAGAUGAUGGUGAAUCAAACAAUUCAAGUGGUUUUGAAGGAAUUAACAAGAGAUGCUAUAGCUUCUAGUUUAAUGAAUUCACUUUAAAAUGCGAUGCUAUAGCUUCUAGUUUAAUGAAUUCACUUUAAAAUGGAAAUGUUAAUGUAAAAUUUUUAAUAUUUAUAUUUGGUAUAUAAAUAUUACUCUUUUUUAAAAAUUUAAUCUAAAUACAUGCAAUAUUUUAAUUUGUUAGGUUUAUGUUUUCUAUGUUAUGUUAACAUCUAAUAUGUGUUAUAUAUUCAAAUUACAUUUUAAAAUGAAAUAAUACAAAUGUGUUAAAAUCAUUAAUUAAAAAUAAAAAAUACAUUUUUUAAAAUAAUACAAAUGUGUUAAUAUCUAAUUACAAAUAAUUAAUGGUUAUAUUUAAAUAUUAAAAACAUAGUUUAUAUAUUCUAAUUAAAUUGUAUAAAUAAUUAAUAUUAAUUGCUUAAAAAUAUUUAAAAAUUAUAUUUCAUAUAUUAAAAUAUUAACAACAAGCUGUAAUAAAUUAUUUUUUAUAUUCUUGCUAAAAUAUCAUAAUAUUAACUAAUUUGAACAUAUUUAAAUAUCGGCCACUAAAAUUGAUUUAUCCAAGACUCUUCCAUCUUGCCAAAAGUAAGGAUUGUACAGUAGCUGAAGUAGUAUGUCUGUUUGGGAAUGGUAGUGCUAGUUGGAACGAAUAUUUUACUAGACCGUUGUUGGGUAGGGAGGAGGGGUUGUGCAAAGAGCUGGCUGAAAGAGCGAGUGGUACGGUGUUGAAUUUGAACAUUGAUGAUAGGUUGUGUUGGGCAAAAGAUAAAGACGAGGACUUUUCGGUUAAAAAAUGCACUGAAUUAUUGAUGUUGGACGAUGGGGAGAACAAUAUUUUUGAUUGUGGUAAAUUAUGGAAAAUUAAGGUGCCUCCUAGAGUGCGUUGUUUUCUCUGGAUGCUCGCUAUUGAUAGAUUAUCGACAAAGGAGUUUCUGGUUAAAAGAGGGGUGAGCUUUCAAAAUUUAACGAUAAACUGUUCGUGGUGCGAUGGUGUUCCGGAGUGUGCUUCUCAUUUGUUCUUUAAGUGUAAAUUUAUUGAAGGUUUUUGGGGGAGAAUUUUCAAGUGGUGGGAGGUGGCGUGGAAGCAGGUGGAAGGCUUUUUGGACUUCUUUGUUUUAUGUAACAAUGUGCGUUUGGCCGAAAUUUGGAAACAAUUAUCGUUGAUUGCUAUUGAAGCAGCUUGCUGGACAAUUUGGUUAGCAAGAAAUGAAUUGAUUUUUGAUAAAAAGAGAGUUUAUAUGGAAAAUUUGGUGUACCAAUCAAAGAUGAGAGCAUUGCUGUGGAUUAGAUCUAUCCAUGAAGAAAUUUUUUUGAAGGAGAAUCUUUGGUGGAUAUCUCCUCUCAGGUGUCAGGUGGAUUCUAUUAAAUCCAAACCUGCCGUGUUCUGUUGGAGGCCCCUUCCAGUUGGAUGGCUAAAAUUCAACGUGUGUGGGAUUGAGCUAGAAGAUAAAGCAGGGUGUGGAGGAGUUUUGAGAGAUAUGGAGGGUGUGGCAAGAGUAAUAUUUUCGGGUGCUGUCAAUGUGAAUAAUGCUGAGGAGGCUGAGAUUGGUGCAGUGAAGAUUGCUUUAGAAGUUUUUCUAGCAAUGAAUUGGAAGCCAAAAGAGUCUCUAUUUAUUAAAAUUGGUUCUUUGGUGGCCCUUUCGUGGUGUGUUAACAAGGUGUUGAGGCCUUGGUCGCUUCAAUCAGCUUUUGCAGAAAUUGAGAUCGCAAUGUUGAAGGUGGGAAAUGUUGUCUUCUCAUUGGCGGGUAGGAAAGGUAUUGGUAUCGUUUUUUCCUUGGCAAUGGUAGGUGUUAAUCGGACACAAAUAUUUAAAGCUUGGUGGUGAUGCUUAGUUUUGAUGAAUUAGCAGGUUUUUAUUUUGUGAUUGGACUAUGUUUUUGCUGUAAGUUUUUUCUAUUUUUGGACGCUGCUCUGUUUUCUUUUGACAAUGCAGAUUGAAUGAAGCAAAAAAAUAAAAAUAAAAAUUUAAAUGCACAUUUGUUACUUUAUAAUACCAUGUCUAAAAUGAACAGUUUAUUUCUCAAAAAGUACUUUUUUUAUAGCACUACUAAACACUUAAAUCUUAAACUAAAAUUUUCAAAAGUACUUCUCAAAAGCACUUUUCCCCAACACUUUUUAAAAUCAUUUUUCAAAAGCAAUGCUAAAUUAGCCCUAAUUGGAUUUUUAGUGAGUAAUAUGUGGAAAUGAUAAAUUGUCAUGACAUUACACAUAUGAUAAUAUGUUUGGUGCAUCGGAUUUUGGAUAUAGUAAAACUUUACUUAAUGGAUAUAACAAUUAUUGUUUGGUGAAGAUUGAAAUUUUAACAUUUGAUGAAGUACAUGAAUUAAAUACAUAGGUUUUGCUAAGUACAAGGACUAAUAGCAGAAAUUAACCUAAAAUUGAUAUAAUAUCGAUUCAUCGCUGAAUUUUACAAAAUCCACAUAUUUAAUACGUUUAUGUUUUAUUUUAAUUUUAAAAAAUGAAAUUUGGAAUUUACUCUCAUACCCCUUCUCUGCUAGAUAUAUAGGCAUCAAUAUCUUAAAGCUUUGAAUGCAAAACUCUUUAUUGCUUACUUAAAUUGGCAUUUAUACAUUAAUGGCUACUUGCUUUUCAUCAUCAUCUUGGUUAAAACUACAGUUCAUUAUUGUUGUCUUUCUCUUUGCCGUAAUAUCCAGCAUCAGUUCACCGGUGAAUGGAUGUUUCACAUCGAUUUUCAGCUUUGGGGAUUCCGUGUCAGAUACCGGCAACUUAAUUGAGAUUUCAAAUUUGGAAAUCGGAAAGAUUCCUCAUUCUGCUUUUCCUCCAAAUGGCCGCACCUUCUUCCACCGUCCAACUGGCCGCUUUUGUGAUGGCCGCUUGGUUAUCGAUUUCCUUGGUACGUUGUUUUUUCUCUUCUUUUUCUUUGAUUUUCUUUACUUACCAGCUCUUGAAUCUUGUCAAAGUCACACAAUCGAAGGAUACAUACUGUUUCCGAGAAUAGAUCUUUUUUCGGGAGAAGUUUUUAAAAUGUCAUUCAUCGGGCAAUCGAUUAAUCCCUCAGUAACUAAAGAUAUUAUUCUCGUAUCAAGGUUUCUUCUCCAAUCUUCGUUAAGAGUCAUGUACGAUUUAUGGAAGGAGCUCCUCGGUUGGUGGAGAUACGGCUUACAAGAUCUCAUGAGAGAUACCAUCAACUCGAGUCACCUCACAUGCAUUCUCCAUAAUUAAUAUUACUCACAAUACAAACAACUUUUCCAUGAGCUCUUGCAAGCAGUAUCUCUAUCAACUAAGGCAUCUCCUUCUGUGAACCGCACACGUCUUUCCACGGAAAUUGGGAACAAAACACUGAUACAAAGAUAAUAUCUUUUAUUAUUAAGGAACUAAUCUUUUAUUCGAUAAACAACAUGUCAGCCAAGUUAAAAAAUAUUAAUUUUUUCGUCCAUUUUAAAGUGAUUUACUAAUAAACACAACUUUAAGAAUUUAAAAAAUAAAAAAUUAAAUAAAGAGUUAAAAUUAUUAUUUUUUUAUGAAGUUGGAAUUUCACCAUUAAUAUUAGAUGGAUAAAGUCUACUAGGUAUAGAUGUUUGUUUUUUCUUGAACUCUUACCAUAUUAUCAUAAUAAUUAAAUUAAAUUAUUAAAUUAUUAAAUUAUUGAAUCUAAUUAUUAAUUUUAAAAUCUAUGUUUAUAUAUAAAUAUAUUAAUAAAUAUAUAAUUGAGAUAUAUUUAUAUGUGUAUAUUAUAUAAUUUACGUUUACUCAAAUAGUAUAUAAUUUAUUAAGAAAAAAAAAUUAGACUAUAUAUGUGUAAAAAAAAAAAAUCAAGCAACUUGAAAUGAUAUACUGAAACAUACGGGUAUUGAUAUGUAUUAGUAUCGAGAUAAAAACACGUUCAUCAGUAUAGUAAUGACUAAUUUGAUCCAUACUCUAUAUGUAUCUAAAUAUGAAUAAGAAUAGUAACGGCAAGCGCAAAUUUAAAUAUUUGCAAAUAUAUGAUCUAUUUUUACGAAUUUGAAUGAUAGAAAUGCAAGUAAUAUUCGUAUUAAGAUUUUCUAGUUACUUUCCGAAGCAUAUAUAUAUAUAUAUAUAUAUAUAUAUAUAUAUAUAAUAGCUUUAAAGCUAUUUCAAUUCAUAAAUAUUUUUUGUUUUUAAUUUUUUACUUGUUAAAUUCAAAUAUUAGCAUAUUUAAAUGGGUUGGUAUUUGGUACACUAACGGUAUAUAUUUUUUUUAUUCCACAAGUAACUCUAAAAAAUUGUCACGUUUCUCCGUUUUUUUUUAAAUUAUACUACACUCUUAUAGCACUCUUGUCAACCCCUUAACUCUAUAUAUUUAAAAACUUUAUUGAUAGUGUACCAAAUGUUCUUCCUAUUUGGAUAUCCAACAAAUAAUUUAUUUAGUUCAUAUUUUUUAUUUUUCUCUUGAAAUAUUUAGAAAAUUUCAUUUAGAUGCAAUUUUUAAAAAUUUUUUUUUAUAGAACUUUUAAAAAUUUUACUAGGCUCUCCAAGCUUUAGUCUCAAGAUAGGCCAUUGUGCUAUCAAAUACAUAUUUAUAUAUCCAUUAAUUUAUUUGAUAAUAUUUGUCUAUGGUUUUGCAGCUGAAGCUUUGGGGUUGCCAUUUCUUCCACCAUAUUAUCGAUAUAAAAAUGCAACAUCAGAGAAAUUUGAAAAUGGUGUGAAUUUUGCAGUUGGGGGUGCUGGUGCACUCAAUUCUUCAUUUCCUGGAAUCUAUAAUCCCAUCACCGUCAUAUCUUUAGUAGAUGAAGUGAAUUCCUUCAAACAAUUUCUUAAUUUACGUACAGAUUUCAAACAGCUGCUACGGAACUCCUUGAUUGUGAUGGGAGAAAUUGGGGGAAAUGAUUACAGUCAUGCCUACAAGCAAGGAAAAAACAUUGAGGAUGUUCGAAACUUUGUUCCUCCUGUUGUUGAUUCUAUAACUUCAUCGAUCAAUGUAAGAAUCGCCAGUUUUUUAAGGCAAUUGUUGAUCGGUACUGUGUUUCAGAUUAUUAUAACAUUUGAGUUUGAUAUGUAGGAGUUGAUCGAGUUAGGUGCAGUGACAUUUCUGGUCCCUGGAAACUUCCCAAUUGGAUGCUCUGCCUCUUAUUUGACACUGUUUCAAGGUUCAGACAAGGAUCAAUAUGAUCCCUUAACUGGUUGUCUAACAUGGUUGUGUUAGUACAAAACUCCAGUAAGGAAAAAACUCGAACACACGAUCGGAACUCGAAAAGAAAAAGAAGAAAUAGGACAGGCUCCAAGGCGUGUAUCAAGCCACUAUCUUUAAGGUUAUAUUCGCCCCCACUUAUCUUCAGUGUGCAAACGAGUUCCAAGCAAAUUAACCUCGAGGAUACAAUGAAGCCAAUGACUAUUUGCGUUUUGCACUGACGAGAAUAGUCCACUAUGCACUGAGUAAUGUAUAACAAAAACUCAAUUUCUACAAAGGAUUUCUGCAGCAAUACUUUAUAGAAUAAUCUAAUAAUAUUAGAAAAUGAAGGAAGAGAAGAAAUAAUAUUAGAAUUUGUUGAUAUGAUUUCCAAAUGAAAUCCCAUUCCUAUUUAUAGGAAUUUUCAUGUCUCUUCAUAGAGACAUCUUUCAAUAGGUGUCUUUAUGAAUAAAUAAAUAAUAAUAAUUAUUCAUUUAAUUUUGUAACUAUUCAAAUAAUAUUUUUUGAAUAGUUAUAAUUCUUUUUAAAAAAAAAUCAAAUGAUAUAACUUUUGACCAAUGACCAAAAGUUUUAUCUUUUGAUUAAUUACACCCAUUCAUUUAUAGUUAUUGGGAUACUAUAAAUAUUUGAAAAUAUUCCAACAGGUUGAACCAAUUCUCUCAACACCACAAUCAAUUACUUCGAAAAGAACUCGAAAAAAUUCGAAACCUUCAUCCCGAUAUCAACAUAGGUUAUGGUGAUUAUUACAGCACUACAAUGCGGAUUUACAAUUCUCCAAACAAAUUUGGUAGGGUUUGGUUUGGUCACUUUCUUCGAAACAAGAAAGCUUAAGUCUGUCAUCCAACUUAAUCGAUUUUUUCUCGAGUUGUUCCAGGUUUUAAAGAAACAUUGAAGGCUUGCUGUGGAACUGGAGGUGUUUACAAUUACAAUCUUUCGAGAGCUUGUGGUUAUCUGCCAGCAACACAAUGUUGCAAUGACCCUUCUUCGUAUAUGAGCUGGGACGGAAUCCAUUAUACAGAAGCAGUCAACAGAUUGAUUGCCAAUGUUGUAUUUGAGGAAUUGAUGAACAGCAUUCAUAGUUUAAAUAACUUGUGUCCUGCAUUAACUAUAAACAAAUUGAGAAUGAUAUAUCCAAAGUCAGAGAUGUAAAUCGUAAGGGGUUUUCGGCUCGUAUUUGGUAUAACUCGACUAAGUAAUAUAGCUGUAUCCUAAUAAACUCAAAAAUUUCUAAGUUGAGUUGUCUUCUUAUAGAUUAAGAGACUUAAUAUUUUUUAUUGUUUUAGUUUAAUAAAAUAUCCAUAAAUUGCUUAGUUUAAUUUUUGAAUUGGAUUGACCUAUACGAGUGUAAAGUGGAGUAAUUUUAUGAGAUUUAUGAUGGGAGUAUCUAGAGCAGUCAUGAAAAUCUAAGCUUGCGCAUGACCUAUUAGUGCACAACUGUGUCGAAGAAAGAAUUAUAGGUAUAGUGUUAUCAAUGAGAAUGUUAAUUUAUGUGAUACAUGAUUGGUUAUAGAAACCUAAGUUGUACGAAUUGUUUAGUAAAUUAAAACUCAUUUAUCUAAAUUUUGAUUCAUAAUCUAAAGGAUGCUAGAAUUAUUGCAUUAUAUCAUAAUUCUCAGCUAAAAUCUUUCCAUUAAUAUUCUUUGAAAUGUACAACCCAAAUUUAGCCCAAUUACAGACCCAAAAUACAAACCCAAAUAAAACCUAAACCAAAACCUACCCAAUAGAAGCCCAAUUUACCCAAAACAUACCCAACCCAAACACACAACAAAAGAAAAAAAGCCAAGGAAACCCUAGCCGUUUAGCUGCUGCCUCCCUGUCCCAUCCACCGACGCCUGCAGCACUGCCCCACCGACGUUCAAGUUGCACCCCUGCAGACAUUAAAGAGACAGGACAGAAAGCAAAAAAGAAAGAAAUGUAAUGGCUAUUUAAAAGCCAAAUCCAAAAACUGUAAAGACAUUCGGGCAUUUUCAGUAAAAAUAAUAAGCAAUAUUAGACCAAAAAACAAAAACAGAUCAAAAACAUAGGCAUAAAGUCGCAACGAAAAAUCGAAGGGAGUUCAAAGAGCGCAAGGCAAGGUUUAACUAUUCUCUUUCGGAUCUAUUUUCUAAGUAUUUUUUUGUUUGAUUUAAAUUAAAAAUAACAUAUACAUACAUAUUCAUAAGCACUAAAAUACAGCAAAAAAAUAUAAAAAAAAUCAUACCGAGAGCGAUUUCCGGCCACCGUACACGGCGGACGACACGGCGGCGGACGGUCGGCUCCUCGCCGGUUUCUGGGCUUGCUGCAGAGAAAGGAGAAAGGAGAGAGGUUUUCAGCUUUUUUUUUGCUGGAAAGAAUGAAAAAUGAAGUUUCAAAAAAAAAACUUGACUUUUAAAGGCCCCCGGUACGACGUCGUUUUGAGGCGUGCAUUCAGCACCCAAAACGACGUCGUUUAGCGACCCGAUCCACGACCCGACCCGUCUGCCCG